Molecule: ribosomal RNA, 468 nt
Filed under: uncultured bacterium
Lineage: Bacteria
Description: partial 16S ribosomal RNA
Rfam family: Bacterial small subunit ribosomal RNA
Source: RNAcentral
GACGAACGCUGGCGGCGUGCUUAACACAUGCAAGUCGAACGGAAAGGCCCUGCUUUUGUGGGGUGCUCGAGUGGCGAACGUGUUAGUAACACGUGUGUAACCUGCCCUUGACUUUGGGAUAACUUCAGGAAACUGGGGCUAAUACCUUAUAUGAGCUCCUGCUGCUUGGUGGGGGUUGGUAAGUUUCGGCGGUUGGGGAUGGACUCGCGGCUUAUCAGCUUGUUGGUGGGGUAGUGGCUUACCAAGGCUUUGACGGGUAGCCGGCAUGAGAGGGUGACCGGCGACAUUGGGACUGAGAUACGGACAAGAAUGCAACGGGAGGCAGCAGUGGGGAAUAUUGCACAAUGGGAGGAAGCGUGAUGAAGCAAAGCCGCGUGCGGGAUGACGGCCUUCGGGUUGUAAACCGCGUUAGACUGUGACGAAGAGUGAGUGACGGUAAUGGGUAAAGAAGCACCGGCUAAAUAAGUG